AUUGAACGCUGGCGGCAGGCCUAACACAUGCAAGUCGAGCGGAUGAAGGGAGCUUGUUCCUGGAUUCAGCGGCGGACGGGUGAGUAAUGCCUAGGAAUCUGCCUGGUAGUGGGGGAUAACGUCCGGAAACGAGCGCUGAUACCGCAUACGUCCUGAGGGAGAAAGUGGGGGAUCUUCGGACCUCACGCUAUCAGAUGAGCCUAGGUCGGAUUAGCUAGUUGGUGGGGUAAAGGCCUACCAAGGCGACGAUCCGUAACUGGUCUGAGAGGAUGAUCAGUCACACGGGAACUGAGACACGGUCAAGACUCCUACGGGAGGCAGCAGUGGGGAACAUUGGACAAUGGGCGAAAGUCUGAUCCAGCCAGGCCGCGUGUGUGACGAAGGUCUUCGGAUUGUAAAGCACGUUUAGUUGGGAGGAAGGGCAGUAAGUUAAUACCUUGCUGGUGUGACGUUACCAACAGAAUAAGCACCGGCUAACUUCGUG
This 484-nucleotide ribosomal RNA is filed under the name uncultured bacterium. Its description in RNAcentral is "partial 16S ribosomal RNA". It matches the Rfam family "Bacterial small subunit ribosomal RNA", at positions 30 to 507 of the family's 1533-position model. The record is from RNAcentral.